UGCGUAGGUGGUAUGGCAAGUCAGAAGUGAAAACCCAGGGCUUAACUCUGGGACUGCUUUUGAAACUGUCAGACUGGAGUGCAGGAGAGGUAAGCGGAAUUCCUAGUGUAGCGGUGAAAUGCGUAGAUAUUAGGAGGAACAUCAGUGGCGAAGGCGGCUUACUGGACUGAAACUGACACUGAGGCACGAAAGCGUGGGGGAGCAAACA
Molecule: ribosomal RNA, 208 nt
Filed under: uncultured bacterium
Lineage: Bacteria
Description: partial 16S ribosomal RNA
Rfam family: Bacterial small subunit ribosomal RNA
Source: RNAcentral